GGCGAACGGGUGAGUAACACGUGGGUGAUCUGCCCUGCACUCUGGGAUAAGCCUGGGAAACUGGGUCUAAUACCGGAUAGGACCAUGCUUUAGUGUGUGUGGUGGAAAGUUUUUCGGUGUAGGAUGAGCCCGCGGCCUAUCAGCUUGUUGGUGGGGUAAUGGUCUACCAAGGCGGCGACGGGUAGCCGGACUGAGAGGUUGGUCGGCCACAUCGGGACUGAGAUACGGCCCAG
RNAcentral lists this ribosomal RNA (233 nucleotides) under uncultured Actinomycetales bacterium. RNAcentral describes it as "partial 16S ribosomal RNA". It matches the Rfam family "Bacterial small subunit ribosomal RNA", at positions 97 to 334 of the family's 1533-position model. Lineage: Bacteria; Bacillati; Actinomycetota; Actinomycetes; Actinomycetales. The record is from RNAcentral.